UACGUAGGGGGCAAGCGUUGCUCGGAAUCACUGGGCGUAAAGGGUGCGUAGGCGGGUCUUUAAGUCAGGGGUGAAAUCCUGGAGCUCAACUCCAGAACUGCCUUUGAUACUGAGGAUCUUGAGUUCGGGAGAGGUGAGUGGAACUGCGAGUGUAGAGGUGAAAUUCGUAGAUAUUCGCAAGAACACCAGUGGCGAAGGCGGCUCACUGGCCCGAUACUGACGCUGAGGCACGAAAGCGUGGGGAGCAAACAGG
This 253-nucleotide ribosomal RNA is filed under the name uncultured bacterium. RNAcentral describes it as "partial 16S ribosomal RNA". It matches the Rfam family "Bacterial small subunit ribosomal RNA", at positions 524 to 776 of the family's 1533-position model. The record is from RNAcentral.